This is a small nuclear RNA of Dipodomys ordii (Ord's kangaroo rat), 108 nucleotides long. The record is from Ensembl. Lineage: Eukaryota; Metazoa; Chordata; Mammalia; Rodentia; Heteromyidae.
GUGUUCGCUUUGGCAGCACAUAGACUGAAAUUGGAAGGGUACAGAGAAGGCUAUCGUGGCCUGUGUGCAAAGGAUGACAGGAAAAUUCAUGAAGCAUUGCUCAUUUUU